This 490-nucleotide ribosomal RNA is filed under the name uncultured bacterium. Its description in RNAcentral is "partial 16S ribosomal RNA". It matches the Rfam family "Bacterial small subunit ribosomal RNA", at positions 28 to 507 of the family's 1533-position model. The record is from RNAcentral.
GAUGAACGCUCGCUACAGGCUUAACACAUGCAAGUCGAGGGGCAGCGGGAUUGAAGCUUGCUUCAAUUGCCGGCGACCGGCGCACGGGUGAGUAACGCGUAUCCAACCUUCCGUACACUCAGGGAUAGCCUUUCGAAAGAAAGAUUAAUACCUGAUGGUAUGAUGAGAUUGCAUGAUAUCAUCAUUAAAGAUUUAUCGGUGUACGAUGGGGAUGCGUUCCAUUAGGUAGUAGGCGGGGUAACGGCCCACCUAGCCAACGAUGGAUAGGGGUUCUGAGAGGAAGGUCCCCCACAUUGGAACUGAGACACGGUCCAAACUCCUACGGGAGGCAGCAGUGAGGAAUAUUGGUCAAUGGAAGAGAGUCUGAACCAGCCAAGUAGCGUGAAGGAUGAAGGUCCUACGGAUUGUAAACUUCUUUUAUAAGGGAAUAAACCCUCCCACGUGUGGGAGCUUGUAUGUACCUUAUGAAUAAGCAUCGGCUAACUCCGUG